Molecule: long non-coding RNA, 973 nt
Organism: Poecile atricapillus (Black-capped chickadee)
Lineage: Eukaryota; Metazoa; Chordata; Aves; Passeriformes; Paridae
Exons: 3
Source: RefSeq, a predicted model, not a curated record
GGUGGCCUUCAGGAACGGGCCGAGGGGUUGCCGCGCGCCCUGCGAUGACGGCGUCCGGCUCCCGGUGUGGCUGAAGCGCGCGGCCUCAGGACGUGGCCGUUCGCAGGAGACCAAGACAACAGCCCGGCGAUGGCAGGAACUUCCCGGAUGGCGAGGCGGCCUUCCUUGGCGCUCCGUGUGGAUCCUCCCCGCUGGGCAUCCGAGAGCUGAGUCGGAGGCUGCAAAUUGCAGAGGGGCUGAAAUCGGGGUGCCGGGUCGGGACUCGUGACCUGGGAUUAUGGAGUCAGCUUUGGGGACGGGGAGGUCCAGGCUGUGGCCCCUUAGGCCACGUGAAGGGAGAGCCUCACAUUUGUUCACAGUGCUGAGGUGUGCAGGACGGAGCAGCCCCAGGGCGUGUUGUAUCACUUGUCCAUUGUGCCUUGUGUGUCUUUUGUGCUUCUUGUGUUGUACGUGCCUCGCCUUAUCUCUUCUGGGGGCUUACCAGAAACCCCGGCGUCACUCCUCGCAUCUCUGAUCUCUGGGCUCCUCAGCCCGACACCAUCGAAGCUUUGCCUCGGGAGCCCUCAGAGGCCUCGGAAUCGCGUCUCUCUUUUAAAAGCAUCCGAUCGGAUAGCUUUUAGAGGUCUUCUUCCAUGCUGUGUCAACAGCCGUGCGCCGCGAGGAUCCAUUGCUGCGGCUUAGGUCUUGAAGAAACGCAAAGAUUGGUAGGGGACUGUGGCCCUCAGAUUCUCGGGCAUCCGUCUUGGCAGUUCCUGGAGUUUGUCAUUCCAUCAGCAUCUUCUUCCUCCCGGGUUCUGCGAGCUUCAUCAGCUCAUUCUUACCCGGCUCAUCUCGUUCCGCGUUCUCUCGGUCCUUGCGGCCAUUCUUUUGGCCCAGAGUUUUGUCUCCCCAUUGUGUCCCCUCGUCUGUUGUCUUGUGUGUCACGGGUGUCUGGGUGUAGUUGUCCCGGAGCUGCUCUGUCCUGCUGCCCGGC